GGUCCCAUAGCUCAGUUGGUUAGAGCGUCGUACUAAUACACCUCCUCAUAAGAUGUCUUGAGUAAAUGCGAAGGCCGAGAGUUCAAGCCUCUCUGGGACCA
Molecule: non-coding RNA, 101 nt
Organism: Coniochaeta pulveracea
Lineage: Eukaryota; Fungi; Ascomycota; Sordariomycetes; Coniochaetales; Coniochaetaceae
Source: the annotation of a GenBank genome assembly